Molecule: non-coding RNA, 175 nt
Filed under: Peptococcaceae bacterium
Lineage: Bacteria; Bacillati; Bacillota; Clostridia; Eubacteriales; Peptococcaceae
Description: Lysine sequence
Rfam family: Lysine riboswitch aptamer
About the family: Riboswitches are metabolite binding domains within certain messenger RNAs that serve as precision sensors for their corresponding targets. Allosteric rearrangement of mRNA structure is mediated by ligand binding, and this results in modulation of gene expression. This family includes riboswitches that sense lysine in a number of genes involved in lysine metabolism, including lysC.
Source: RNAcentral
ACAGAAGAUAGAGGUGGGUCAAACAAGAGUAGCUAAGAUGAGGUUGGAGAGAAACCUUUGAUCCUUAGCGAAAGGGGAUGGCUCCGAAGGGUGGAUUUCUCUUAAAUCCAUGCCUGGUUCCCGGAUUAAGAGUCCUUGAAUUGUCACCGUUUUUCGGUGAAGAGCUAUCGUUUUG